This 495-nucleotide ribosomal RNA is filed under the name uncultured bacterium. RNAcentral's name for it is "partial 16S ribosomal RNA". It matches the Rfam family "Bacterial small subunit ribosomal RNA", at positions 28 to 507 of the family's 1533-position model. The record is from RNAcentral.
GAUGAACGCUGGCGGCGUGCCUAAUACAUGCAAGUCGAGCGAACAGACGAGGAGCUUGCUCCUCUGACGUUAGCGGCGGACGGGAGAGUAACACGUGGAUAACCUACCUAUAAGACUGGGAUAACUUCGGGAAACCGGAGCUAAUACCGGAUAAUAUAUUGAACCGCAUGGUUCAAUAGUGAAAGACGGUUUUGCUGUCACUUAUAGAUGUAUCCGCGCCGCAUUAGCUAGUUGGUAAGGUAACGGCUUACCAAGGCAACGAUGCGUAGCCGACCUGAGGGUGAUCGGCCACACUGGAACUGAGACACGGUCCUGAGUCCUAGGGGAGGCAGAGGUAGGGAAUGGUCCGCGAUGGGCGGAAGCCUGACGGAGCAGCGGCGCGUGGGUGAUGAAGGUCUUCGGAUCGGAAAACGCUGUUAUGAGGGAAGAACAAAUGUGUAAGUAACGAUGCACGUCGUGACGGUACCUGAUCAGGAAGCCACGGCUAACUACGUG